UUCAACACAAUAUAAUUCACUACAUUAUUUUGUAUUUAUACAUUGCUUUAUAAAAUAAAAAAUUAUAAUAUAUGAAUCAUUUUGAUUUUGGAGACAUUGUUUUGAUCAUGAUCCUCUCGGGUUUGGCAGUAGACUUUGGUUUCAUCAGGUGGAGAGCUGGAAUCUUCAAGUUUUGGGUCCUCUUCAUUUGGAUUUGCUACACUCAUGGAAUUCUCAAAUCUCCAAUCUACAAAGAAUUCAAAAUAUCUCUGCUAAAAAUAUAUAUACAUGUACAUAAUUGAUAAAGUGACCAAUAAGCAAACUGCAGUACAGAAAUUGAUCUUUUUUUUUUUUUUUUUUUUGAUAACAACUCUCAUUCAUUCAUAACAUAGAGUCAUCUAGAGAAUUACAAGCUGGCCUCAUGCCAAACAAUUUGGGAAAUACACUCGGGAAUUGAUUCCCACCAAACUGUUAAAUCCUCUACAAAUCUUGCUAAUUUUGCUAGACCAUCAGCUGCUGCAUUGUGCACUCUGCCGGCAUGUUGGAAUGUCACCUUUGGUAGCUGUUUAGAGAGGCUGAGUAUGGAAUAGAUCAGGUUACCAUGGGGAGACAUGGACUCCUCCUCUGCUGUUAAGGCUCUUACACUGAGCAUUGAGUCUGUUUCCACAAUCAACUCGCCAAUGCCCAACGGGAUACACAGCUGUAGCCCCCUCAGGAUGGCAAGAAGCUCCACUUCCAUAGGGUCAGAGAACUCAGGUUCUUUUUUACACGCAGCCAGAAUUACCUUUCCUUUUUCAUCUCUCAAAAUAACUCCCACACCUGAGGUACAGCAUCCCUGAAACAUAGCCCCAUCCGUGUUGAUUUUUAGAGCUCCUAUAGGGGGGUUUCCACCUCAUAUCCCUUACCAUGUUCUGUUUAGUGCUGGCUUGAGCUUCUCGAGACUCCUUAAACAAAGACAUGGCAUGAUCCACAAACUGUUGUGGGUGCUGAACCUGCUCUUCAAAGUAAAAAAGGUUCCUUCUAUACCAAAAGGACCAGGCCAUAAGAAAAAACUUCUCAAGAUCUCUUGGCUGCCCUUCCUUUGUCACUCUCAUGGCUAUCUCCAUAAACCCCUGCUGGUUUCCUCCCCGAAAUAAAAAACCAAACAAAGACUUCCAUAAGGGUAAAAUGGAUGGGCAAUAUAUCAGUGCAUGACUUGUGUCUUCCCUUUCCUCAUGGCAGAACUUGCAGGUAUCUUCAGAAACAACCUUCCUGACCCUCAGGUUUUGCAAGGUGGGCAGUCCAUGCUUGCAUGCUCUCCAAGAGAAGACUCUAACCCUGUGUGGUAUUGGCAUUGACCAUAACUGCUUCCAGAAUCCCCGCAGUGCCUGAUAGUUUGAGCAACCCCCUUCUACCCUAUGGUUCUUUAUAGCCCAGAACAGCCUAUAAGCACUCCUCACUGUGUAUUCUCCUGAGUUUUCAUAGUGCCAUAUGAGCUUAUCCUCUCUAGGUGAAGGUCCUAGGGGAAUCCUCAGAACAUCAGAAGCUUCUCUUGGAGGGAGAGUUCUCCUAACUAUCUCAGCAUCCCACCAACCUGUCUCCCCAUCAAUCAAUUGUGCAACACGUUGACAACUGCUUCUACUUUCUUGAUAUAGGCCUAAAGGGGUUUGACUCUGUCCUGGUAGCCAGAUAUCAGUCCAGAUAUUUAUGGACUCCCCAUCCCCUACUCGCCACCUGCAUCCCUUCACCAUUAGUCUUGUAGCUUCCCAUAUCCCUCUCCAUGCAUAUGAUGGGGCAUUUCCCAACUGUGCGUACUGGAUGCAUGAAUUGGGGAAGUACUUGGACUUGUAGAUUCUAUGGAGGAGAGAAGACUUUUCAUUCAUUAUCCUCCAUGCUUGCUUAGCUAAUAGGGCCAUAUUGAAACUAUGCAGGUCCUUAAACCCCAUUCCCCCAUCUUGCUUAGGAGCACACAUUUUUGUCCAGCUCACCCACCUGAUUUUGUUUUCCUCCCUCCUUUGGCCCCACCAAAACUUUGCCAUCAUAUUCUCUAGCUCUUUACACAAACUUUCAGGUAACUUGAAGCAACUCAUAGAGUAUGAAGGGAUUGAUAGUGCUACUGCUUUAAUUAGUAUUUCCUUCCCCCCUUGUGAGAGUAGCCUCUCCUUCCAUCCUUGAAGCUUCUUCCAAACCCUGCUCUUGAUAUUUGCAAAGGCCCUUUUCUUUGAUCUUCCUACCACUGAUGGGAGGCCAAGGUACUUUUCAUACUUCUGAGCCUGCUGUAUCCCCCAAGAUGCCAUAAUUUCCUGCUGCAAUUGGGGGUUAACAUUGGUGCUAAAAACCAUUGCUGUCUUCUCUUUAUUAACUUUCUGACCCGAUGCCAGUUCAUACUCCUUUAGAAGUUGGUGGAUAUGUGCAUUAGUUUGCAAAGUGGCCCUGCAAAAAAACAAACUAUCAUCUGCAAAGAGGAGGUUGUUGAUCCUUGGGCUGCCUCUACAGAUUUUUACUCCUUCCACCAGCUUGUUCUCCUCUGCUUGUCUUAGCAUAGCUAUCAACCCUUUAGUGCACAGAAGAAAGAGAUAAGGGGAGAGGGGAUCCCCUUGCCUCAGACCUCUCGAGGGCUUGAUAGGGCCCUUUGGACUACCAUUCACAAUAAUAGAGUAUGUAACAGUCUGCACACAGCACAUUACAAGCUUUCUCCACCUUUCAUUGAACCCCAUCUUGCCCAUUAUAUUAUCUAGGAAUCCCCACUCCACUCUAUCGUAUGCUUUGCUCAUAUCCAAUUUGAGUGACAUAUACCCUUUCUUCCCUUUCCUUUUCUGUCUUAAGUAAUGGACCAAUUCAUAAGCAACUAGAACAUUGUCUGUAAUUAGUCUCCCGGGUACAAAGGCUGAUUGAGACAAGGAUAUAACCUGAGGCAGGACUUAUUUUAGCCUAUUGGAGAGGACUUUGGAUAUAAGCUUGUAGGCAACAUUGCACAGACUGAUUGGUCUGUAUUCUGCUACUGUUUCUGGUUUAUCCUUCUUAGGAAUUAAAACAAUGUGUGUGUGGUUAAGUUCAGCUGGGAAGACCCCUUCAUUUAGUACUUUCAGCACAGCCUCGGUGACAUCCUUUCCUACCACAGUCCAGUACUUUUGGUAAAAUAAAGGGGGCAUGCCAUCAGGUCCAGGGGCUUUGGAUGGUUCCAUCUGGUUUAGAGCCUGAAACACUUCUUCUUCUGAAUACUGCUGCAUCAGAACCUCAUUCAUUCCUUCAGUUACACAAGCCUGCAGAUUAUCUAGGAAUCCCACUUGUUCUUGAUGGCCUGAAGAUGUGAAAAUGGUUUGAAAUUAAUCCAUGAUGAUUUGAUCCCUUUCUUCUCCCUCCUGCCAGGUAUUAUUGCUAUCUCUUACUCCUUUAAUAUAAUUUCUUUUCUGUCUUUGAGAAGCUUUUCUAUGAAAAAACCUUGUGUUCUUGUCCCCCUCCUUUAACCAUAAUGCCUUCGAUCUCUGCCUCCACAUGAUUUCAUCUCUUUCCAACCAAGUUUGCACCUCAGCCUUUGCUUGCUUGUGCUCUUCUAUUCUCAGGCAUCUUGGAUCAGUUUGGUACAGCAGGUUCAUCUUGUCUCGGGCCUUAGCAAUAUGUCUCUUCACGUGACCAAAGCUGCUCUUAUUCCACUGCUGGAGCCUCUCCCCACAGCCCUUUAUCUUCUUCAUAAGUGAAGAGAUGUCCUUGUCCCCUCCCUCUAGGUUCCAAGUAGAAGACACCACCUGCUUGCAUCCUUCUGUCUCAGUCCACAUGGCCUCAAACCUGAAUCCAGGUCCUCUACUACUCAGAUUGGGAUCGACUUGGGGUUUCAAUAUAACAGCAAGGUGGUCCGAGUAGGCAAUUGGCAGAUGAACAACAUGCCACAUAGCAAAUUUGGAGCUCCACUCUUGAUUAGCACAAAAUCUAUCUAGCCUUUCUGACACACUGUGUUCUUCCUGCCUCCCAUUCCACCAUGUGAAUUGAGGUCCACAGAACCCCAGAUCCAAUAACCUGCACUCAACCAGCAUGUCACUAAAAUCCUCCAUCUGCCACUCAGGUCUGCUUCUUCCUCCCCUCUUCUCCCCCAUAUGCAAAAUUUCAUUAAAAUCCCCCAUUACAAGCCAAGCACAACCUGCUGGUACCAUUAGGGACUUUAUUAAUGACCAUGUUUCAUGUCUUCUUGCAGCUUCUGGGUGACCAUACACUCCAGUCAAGUACCAGACAGCUUCCCCUUCCCCUUGCAAUUUAAUUUCAGCAUGGAUAUGAGACUUUGAAUAUUGGGUAAUCUUAAGAUCAAUACUGUUUUUCCAUAAGAGAGCAAUGCCUCCCCCUCCUCUGUCAUUACUCACUGCUAAACAGUUUGGAAAACCUAAGAUAUACUUAAUUUUCUCCAUUCUAGUAACACUCAAUCUUGUCUCUUGUAGAAACAGGAUUGUGGGAUCUUCCCUUCGAGUCAAGUCUCGAAGUGCUCGAACUCCCCGUGGGUUCCCAAGCCCACGUGAGUUCCAACUGAUGAGUCUCAUUGAUCUUGGUGGGGCUGUAAACCAGCCUCCACCAUGUUUGUGUGUUCAUUGCUUUCAGGCCCCUCAUUCUCAAUCUUUAUUUUUUUGUUCUUACCAUGGUUUGCAGAGGAUGCUGCAAUUCUUUUACUUCUCUUUAAAAUUGGACUUUUGGCUCUCUUUUUGCUGUAUGAUACCCCUGAUGGGUUUCCUCCCAAUCCUGGUGAAAAGUUCUCAGUUUUCAGAUUUCUUUCUUGUCUUCUCCAUGUAGGAUCCUUCUUUGGUUGAUUCAGUGCUUUUAGUUGGUCAGACAGGAAACUCUCAAUGGAAUGAAUCUGUGUAACUAAGUCAGUUGAGAUCUCCGUACCAGUUAUCCCAUGUUGUACUGCCUCUUUAGCUGUCAGUGGAGUGUGUGCUAUUCCUGUAGGCCUUGUCUGCUCAUCGAGCCCCCUUUCUAGUUUUUCAUGGGGUACAUUUGGAGGGUUUAGUGGAGGAACUCCUUUUCCCGCCAGCUUUUGUGUACCAACUUGUCUAGGGAAGUUUCCUUGCCUAGUCAACCUCUCUGCUCCCUGAAAUGGUACGGAAUUACUCCUAAAGUCAAGAGCAAACUAUGAGGCUAAACUAUGAGGAAGUUAUCACAGCUUGGCCCAGCCAACGUUCUCCAUGGACGACAGGAACAUGACCGAAGCUCAAUCCUGACAACUGUUGGCGGAACAUCAUGUUUCCCCCUUUGAAGGAAGGAUUGAAAAGGAACCAAACAAACUGGACAUUUGCUCCAAUGUUACUUCUGAAAUGGACCUCUCAAGAGACAACAAAAGAAGCCAAUAAACAAGGAAAAACUCCAUGUUCCAAAAAGUAGAAGCAAGAAAUAACAGAAAGCAGAAGCAUUUUGUGUUCUUGAAAUCAAAUAUUCUAUGAAUAGCCAUUACACGCAUUAAAACAUCUGAAAGAACAAGCUCGCACUCUGUUAGCACCCAAUAAAUUAUCUUCAGUUUGGUUCGAAUUGUCUAUAUAAAUUAAAGAGGCUGUUUGUGAAUUUCUUUUUAGGAUCGAAUUUUGUAUUAUAUGUUUCAGCUGGAACCGACUUGUACUAUCUAUAUGUUUAUAAGGAGAAUAUCGUAAAUAUUUAAAGAGAUAGGUAGGAGGAAAUAAUGUUCCUAAUCCUAAGCAUGUUAUUUCAA
Carya illinoinensis is the source of this 5641-nucleotide long non-coding RNA. RefSeq lists it as uncharacterized. The record is from RefSeq and is a predicted model, not a curated record. Lineage: Eukaryota; Viridiplantae; Streptophyta; Magnoliopsida; Fagales; Juglandaceae. The transcript is spliced from 2 exons.